UACGGGGGGAGCAAGCGUUGUUCGGAUUUACUGGGCGUAAAGGGCGCGUAGGCGGUCAGCACAAGUCAGUUGUGAAAUCUCCGGGCUUAACUCGGAAAGGUCAACUGAUACUGUGCGACUAGAGUGCGGAAGGGGCAACUGGAAUUCUCGGUGUAGCGGUGAAAUGCGUAGAUAUCGGGAGGAACACCUAUGGCGAAGGCAGCUCGCUGGGACGUUACUGACGCUGAGACGCGAAAGCGUGGGGAGCAAACAGG
Molecule: ribosomal RNA, 254 nt
Filed under: uncultured bacterium
Lineage: Bacteria
Description: partial 16S ribosomal RNA
Rfam family: Bacterial small subunit ribosomal RNA
Source: RNAcentral